ACGCGCGGAACCUUACCAGGUCUUGACAUACUCAUGCUAGUCUUAGAGAUAAGACGUUCCUUCGGGACAUGGGAUACAGGUGGUGCAUGGUUGUCGUCAGCUCGUGUCGUGAGAUGUUGGGUUAAGUCCCCGCAACGAGCGCAACCCCCUAUGUUUAGUUGCCAUCAUUAAGUUGGGCACUCUAGACAGACUGCCGUAGAUAAUACGGAGGAAGGUGGGGAUGACGUCAAAUCAUCAUGCCCCUUAUGAC
Molecule: ribosomal RNA, 250 nt
Filed under: uncultured bacterium
Lineage: Bacteria
Description: partial 16S ribosomal RNA
Rfam family: Bacterial small subunit ribosomal RNA
Source: RNAcentral